GGAGGGUAUAGCUCAGUGGUAGAGCACAUGCUUAGCAUGCAUGAGGCCCUGGGUUCAAUCCCCAGUACCUCCA
This 73-nucleotide transfer RNA is filed under the name Vicugna pacos (alpaca). RNAcentral describes it as "tRNA-Ala (AGC) (tRNA-Ala-AGC-48-1)". It matches the Rfam family "tRNA". Rfam says of the family: Transfer RNA (tRNA) molecules are approximately 80 nucleotides in length. Their secondary structure includes four short double-helical elements and three loops (D, anti-codon, and T loops). The record is from RNAcentral. Lineage: Eukaryota; Metazoa; Chordata; Mammalia; Artiodactyla; Camelidae.